This 372-nucleotide ribosomal RNA is filed under the name uncultured organism. RNAcentral's name for it is "bacterial SSU rRNA". It matches the Rfam family "Bacterial small subunit ribosomal RNA", at positions 526 to 896 of the family's 1533-position model. The record is from RNAcentral.
CGUAGGGUGCGAGCGUUAAUCGGAAUUACUGGGCGUAAAGCGUGCGCAGGCGGUUUUGUAAGACAGGCGUGAAAUCCCCGGGCUCAACCUGGGAACUGCGCUUGUGACUGCAAGGCUAGAGUACGGCAGAGGGGGGUGGAAUUCCACGUGUAGCAGUGAAAUGCGUAGGGAUGUGGAGGAACACCAAUGGCGAAGGCAGCCCCCUGGGUCGAUACUGACGCUCAUGCACGAAAGCGUGGGUAGCAAACAGGAUUAGAUACCCUGGUAGUCCACGCCCUAAACGAUGUCAACUAGGUGUUGGGUGGGUAAAACCAUUUAGUACCGGAGCUAACGCGUGAAGUUGACCGCCUGGGGAGUACGGCCGCAAGGUUA